RNAcentral lists this ribosomal RNA (440 nucleotides) under uncultured bacterium. Its description in RNAcentral is "partial 16S ribosomal RNA". It matches the Rfam family "Bacterial small subunit ribosomal RNA", at positions 338 to 795 of the family's 1533-position model. The record is from RNAcentral.
CCUACGGGAGGCAGCAGUGGGGAAUAUUGCACAAUAGGGGAAACCCUGAUGCAGCGACGCCGCGUGAGUGAAGAAGUAUCUCGGUAUGUAAAGCUCUAUCAGCAGGGAAGAAAAUGACGGUACCUGACUAAGAAGCCCCGGCUAACUACGUGCCAGCAGCCGCGGUAAUACGUAGGGGGCAAGCGUUCUCCGGAUUUACUGGGUGUAAAGGGAGCGUAGACGGCGCUGCAAGUCCGGAGUGAAAGCCCAUGGCUUAACCAUGGUACUGCUCUGGAAACUGUGCAGCUAGAGUGCAGGAGAGGUAAGCGGAAUUCCUAGUGUAGCGGUGAAAUGCGUAGAUAUUAGGAGGAACACCAGUGGCGAAGGCGGCUUACUGGACUGUAACUGACGUUGAGGCUCGAAAGCGUGGGGAGCAAACAGGAUUAGAUACCCCAGUAGUC